Molecule: ribosomal RNA, 805 nt
Filed under: uncultured bacterium
Lineage: Bacteria
Description: bacterial SSU rRNA
Rfam family: Bacterial small subunit ribosomal RNA
Source: RNAcentral
UAGAGUUUGAUCCUGGCUCAGGAUGAACGCUAGCUACAGGCUUAACACAUGCAAGUCGAGGGGCAGCAUGUUGGUUGCUUGCAACCAACGAUGGCGACCGGCGCACGGGUGAGUAACGCGUAUCCAACCUGCCCUUGUCCACCGGAUAACCCGUCGAAAGGCGGACUAACACGGUAUGCAGUCCACAGCAGACAUCUAACGUGGACGAAAUGUGAAGGAGAAGGAUGGGGAUGCGUCUGAUUAGCUUGUUGGCGGGGUAACGGCCCACCAAGGCGACGAUCAGUAGGGGUUCUGAGAGGAAGGUCCCCCACAUUGGAACUGAGACACGGUCCAAACUCCUACGGGAGGCAGCAGUGAGGAAUAUUGGUCAAUGGGCGAGAGCCUGAACCAGCCAAGUAGCGUGCAGGAAGACGGCCCUAUGGGUUGUAAACUGCUUUUAUACGGGGAUAAAGUGAGCCACGUGUGGCUUAUUGCAGGUACCGUAUGAAUAAGGACCGGCUAAUUCCGUGCCAGCAGCCGCGGUAAUACGGAAGGUCCGGGCGUUAUCCGGAUUUAUUGGGUUUAAAGGGAGCGUAGGCCGUCUGUUAAGCGUGUUGUGAAAUGUCGGGGCUCAACCUGGGCAUUGCAGCGCGAACUGGCAGACUUGAGUGCGCAGGAAGUAGGCGGAAUUCGUCGUGUAGCGGUGAAAUGCUUAGAUAUGACGAAGAACUCCGAUUGCGAAGGCAGCCUGCUGUAGCGUAACUGACGCUGAAGCUCGAAAGCGUGGGUAUCGAACAGGAUUAGAUACCCUGGUAGUCCACGCGGU